RNAcentral lists this unclassified non-coding RNA (351 nucleotides) under Bombus terrestris (buff-tailed bumblebee). RNAcentral describes it as "misc RNA ENSBTSG00005038200.1". The record is from RNAcentral. Lineage: Eukaryota; Metazoa; Arthropoda; Insecta; Hymenoptera; Apidae.
GAAGCUUAAAAAACAGUAUUCCAGUGAUAUCGUUUCAAGCCAACGUGAACCUAAUCUUGAGGCAAAAUCGCGAUACCAUUGGCAAUUGUAUGAAAAUCGCGAUAAUAGACGAGAAAAGACGGAAUCCAACGCGAUCGAGAACAUCGGAGGAUACCGGAACGCGUGGCGUCGAGUGCCCAGAGCACAGAAGCGAUCAGAGACGACGAAUUUGUGGCUUGGGUGAAUCACGAUUCUCGUGGAAAUUCUACUGUCUGUUCAUCGACCACAAACGAGCUGACAGUAUCGUCUAAAAUCAUAAUCCGCCGCGGUCAGAUCAUUUAUCGUCAACGUAACAGCGAGUUUCUCACUUAA